GAAGUCCAGUAGGGCUGCAGGAGCUGCUUGUGCUGCUGGACAGGCAGGCAGGGGCAAAGUGGCAGAGUAGGCAGCGAGGGAGCUCUGAUCUUCCUGCUCAGCUCCCUCGCGUGCGCCGCUUAGUAAUGCCAGGAGCUGGUCUGACGUCAAAUUACAGCUCCCCGCCCGACCGCAAAUCAAACUGCCGCCUACCUCGGGGGGUGCGCAAAUGUAAACAAGCUGGCCAGCUCUUGGGCCCCCCAGGACACGAGGCUAACAAGGCAUCCGCUAGGGUGAUUACACCACUGGGCACUCUGCCAGCGACAUAUGGCUGCAUGCCCACAGAGAGGUUUAUGCCA
This is a non-coding RNA of Pelobates cultripes (western spadefoot toad), 338 nucleotides long. Lineage: Eukaryota; Metazoa; Chordata; Amphibia; Anura; Pelobatidae. The record is from the annotation of a GenBank genome assembly.